Long non-coding RNA from Coregonus clupeaformis (lake whitefish), 874 nucleotides. RefSeq lists it as uncharacterized. The record is from RefSeq and is a predicted model, not a curated record. The transcript has 4 exons. NCBI's taxonomy places the organism in Eukaryota, Metazoa, Chordata, Actinopteri, Salmoniformes, Salmonidae.
UGGAGGUCAUGAAAUUUUGUUCUUUCACACAUCUUGGUGAUUAUCGAGGCCGGGAGUGUUGGAAAGAUUUUUCAAAUACUGAGGAACUAUCAUUCGCAAUGGAUGUUAAAAAACAGACUUCGUUGACUUGUGUGAGGCGAAGAAAAAAUGAGUGGUGUACGUGAUAUGUGGUGCUCCCCAGACCAGUGUUUUCGAGACAGGGAUGGACUACACUGUUCAUCUGAGCUUGCCGCUCUACUCCACACUCAGUGAUGUCCAGUCCCCAUACACACUCAUCAACUCGGUUGUGCUGAUGAGUCACAGUAGGAACCCGGAGAUCUUCACUGGUUCUGAGGUAGGUGGUGUGGCAACCAACAGCGCCUGGGACACGUUCCAGCGGAGAACAGCCAGAGCGUAGUCGAGACUCCCUCCGCAGACAUCUGCCGCAACUUCAUCUUUAGUGUGUCAGCUCUGCUGCCCCAGGGAGCUAAAUGACCUAAAGCACUGCACUCAUAUGGCUCUGGCUUGCUGAUAACAUCUGAUCUGAUGAGACUCCCUAUGUGAUUUGACUCCUGUAUUACUGCCUGUACUCAAUAAAACUUCCAAUGCCAAAUUUAAAAUAAUUUGACAGUAAUUUGAUAGACAAUGGUAGUUCCCAAUCAGACAAUUACUAUGAAACAAAUCCGUUUUCCUCAGUUAAAUGUUUGGUGAAUGCAUGUUGUGCUUUGUCCUCAGUCUUCCUUUGAAUGAUGUGUGUACCAUGAUGACAUGUUAACCUGAGUUAAGUUGGUUAAUCCUAUACAGUACAAUUCAGUUGUUUACAUUCUAUUACUUGGCACUGGUUAUGUACUGUUAAUGUAGCAAGUUCUCCCCUUUGUGUCUCCAUAUAAUUCAA